CAGCUGGGCCGGACGGCCGCUCGAUGCGUCUUUCGGGACGUGACGGGAGGAAAGUCCGAACUCCAGAGAGCAGUGUGCCGGAUAACGUCCGGGAAGCUGGUUUCAAAGCCGGCUGACGGAAAGUGCCACAGAAAACAUACCGCCCGCAAGGGUAAGGGUGAAAAGGUGCGGUAAGAGCGCACCGCCGCUCCAGUAAUGGGACGGGCAGGGCAAACCCCACACGGAGCAAGACCAAAUAGGAAGGGAGUCCCGCCGUCGCUGCGAGUUUAGCCGCGAGCGAUGAGUAGCGAUGAGUAACGAGUGAUGAGCCCGCCAUGGAAUCAUGGUUGCUCGCAACUCUCCGCUCACAGCUCAUUUGCUAAAUCAGCAGCGACGGUGGGACGCGUGCCUGCUCGGUGCGCAAAACCUUCGGGUAGGUCGCUAGAGCUGCGCAGUAAUGCGCGGCCCAGAGGAAUGGCCGUCCUGCGGUACGUGGUCUCCGGUGGCGGGCUUCGGCCCACCACGGAGCAGCUUCCCAGCAGACAGAAUUCGGCUUAUAGGUCCGGCUGCCAC
Molecule: RNase P RNA, 552 nt
Filed under: Acidobacteriota bacterium
Lineage: Bacteria; Pseudomonadati; Acidobacteriota
Description: Acidobacteria bacterium RNase P RNA component class A
Rfam family: Bacterial RNase P class A
About the family: Ribonuclease P (RNase P) is a ubiquitous endoribonuclease, found in archaea, bacteria and eukarya as well as chloroplasts and mitochondria. Its best characterised activity is the generation of mature 5'-ends of tRNAs by cleaving the 5'-leader elements of precursor-tRNAs. Cellular RNase Ps are ribonucleoproteins.
Source: RNAcentral